Molecule: ribosomal RNA, 787 nt
Filed under: uncultured bacterium
Lineage: Bacteria
Description: bacterial SSU rRNA
Rfam family: Bacterial small subunit ribosomal RNA
Source: RNAcentral
ACAUGCAAGUCGAGCGGGGGAUGUUGCUUCGGUAACUGACCUAGCGGCGGACGGGUGAGUAAUGCUUAGGAAUCUGCCUAUUAGUGGGGGACAACAUUCCGAAAGGAAUGCUAAUACCGCAUACGCCCCACGGGGGAAAGCAGGGGAUCUUCGGACCUUGCGCUAAUAGAUGAGCCUAAGUCAGAUUAGCUAGUUGGUGGGGUAAAGGCCUACCAAGGCGACGAUCUGUAGCGGGUCUGAGAGGAUGAUCCGCCACACUGGGACUGAGACACGGCCCAGACUCCUACGGGAGGCAGCAGUGGGGAAUAUUGGACAAUGGGCGGAAGCCUGAUCCAGCCAUGCCGCGUGUGUGAAGAAGGCCUUUUGGUUGUAAAGCACUUUAAGCGAGGAGGAGGCUACCGAGACUAAUACUCUUGGAUAGUGGACGUUACUCGCAGAAUAAGCACCGGCUAACUCUGUGCCAGCAGCCGCGGUAAUACAGAGGGUGCGAGCGUUAAUCGGAUUUACUGGGCGUAAAGCGUGCGUAGGCGGCUUUUUAAGUCGGAUGUGAAAUCCCUGAGCUUAACUUAGGAAUUGCAUUCGAUACUGGGAAACUAGAGUAUGGGAGAGGAUGGUAGAAUUCCAGGUGUAGCGGUGAAAUGCGUAGAGAUCUGGAGGAAUACCGAUGGCGAAGGCAGCCAUCUGGCCUAAUACUGACGCUGAGGUACGAAAGCAUGGGGAGCAAACAGGAUUAGAUACCCUGGUAGUCCAUGCCGUAAACGAUGUCUACUAGCCGUUGGGGCCUUUG